Molecule: long non-coding RNA, 400 nt
Organism: Nerophis ophidion (straightnose pipefish)
Lineage: Eukaryota; Metazoa; Chordata; Actinopteri; Syngnathiformes; Syngnathidae
Exons: 2
Source: RefSeq, a predicted model, not a curated record
AUCUGCGUCGCUGCCUUCAGCCUCCAUUGCUGUGAUGCUCGCUCUCGUCGCGCACACUUUCUCCUUCGUGUCCCUCGUCGUGGCGUUGCGUGGACACGAUGAUGACGUCACGGCAGACAGACCCUACGAGGUCUUAUUCAAGCAGAAUUUAGUCACGCUCGGAAGUGUCCUGGGCGUCCUCCUGCUGCUGAUGAUCAUCAUGGCUGUGUGUGUCUACAAGCCUCUGUCCAGGCGGUGAAAACGAAACUAAAAACAAAACAAAACCCAACAAGGACGGAGAGACCCCUAACGUGACGUCACUUCCUUUCCUUUCACCGCCUGUCACAGUCAGUGUAUUUAUUCUGUUCAGUUGUUGAACAUAAUGCUGUCCAAAAAAUAUAAUUUUAAAUAUCAAAUAUCA